This 7109-nucleotide long non-coding RNA is filed under the name Panax ginseng (ginseng). RNAcentral's name for it is "long non-coding RNA (PGIN_LNC010105)". The record is from RNAcentral. Lineage: Eukaryota; Viridiplantae; Streptophyta; Magnoliopsida; Apiales; Araliaceae.
UCUAUCUUCUUGAAUUCUAUUGUUGCAAUGUUGUGAUGAAUCUGGAAGGGCAAAUUUAUAACUUAUUUCUCAAUUCCUGGUUGAUUCAUGGACUUCCAGUCCAAUUUCCCCUCAACUUUUAACUUAUGCACUGCUUACAGAUAUUGUCCGUCUAUAAUGCUGGUGCCGAAAUUGUCAAGGUGAGAAUUGACUUAUUUUCAUUAUAGAACAUACAAAUUGCUUAAUACAGUGAAAUAGAUUUUGUCUAUCCUAUGAUCUGUGCACGUAGUUGAAUUCGUGAAUGAAUUUACCCUUUCAUAAUCUUAAUGUUAUCAAAUUAUCAUGUUCUACUGUUUAAUCAGUUCUCUCAUGGGUAGACAAUCAUGAUUUACCAUUAUUUGCCUUAAAAUUUUCUUACUAAUAGACGAAUUUGAUUAUACAAGGAAGAAAAACAUCAAAAUGGAGACUACGCGUCCACCAAACAAACAGAAGAGAAUUACACAUCCUAGUGUAGGACAAUCCCCCAAUCCCUAUCAAGGUUGCUUUGCCUUAGUAAUUAUGUUGCAUAUUCUUUCUACUUUAUAAAUUUGAUGCUUACAAGAAGAUAAGAAUCUUCUCAUGUGAAAGAUCAUAACAUAAAGAUUUGCAUGAUAGAUGUAUUGAUGUAGGGUAGAUGCUGUUUUUUAAUUUGAUUCAAGUGUAAUAUGUUAGGAUCCAAGGUAGGUCCUAACAAAUUUGCGGACGGGUAGAGAAGAAAUAGAUUUUAGAAACAAAGUUGGAGGAGGGCGAAGGAAUGGGCAAAAUGGGAGAAACUGAGGCGAGGAAGGGGAUAGGGAGCAGAAAAUAUCUCUUAUAUCAAUUUGUCAUUCAAAUCUAUGUGGCACACGAUACAUAUACAGGACACAGAUACGACACAAUAAAUGACACGAUACACAACAUUCUCCGAGAAAAAAGGAUAUAAUGCGUUGGGAGAUAUGUUGAAUUUUAUAUUUUCUUAAAUAGAUAUACAUGUAUUUCUAUAAUAAAUAAAUUUAAUUACCAAUAGAGUAGAAUAAAUAUCAAGAAAAAUAGUGAAAAACCCUAGCAUAUUAUAAUGAACAUAUCUAAUAAGUAACUUGUGUAUUUAUAACUUGGCCAAAUAAAAAAGUAAAACAAAUUAUAAAAAAACAAGUGUUAGGAUGUAUCCCGGCGUGUCCCGAUGUGUCGCCGCGUGUAUACGACAUGUCCGAAGUAAAAAUAAAAUAAAAUUAAACAAAUAAAAAGAUAGUGUCGAGAUGCAUCCCUGCGUGUCCAAGGCGUUGCGUGUCUGGAAUGCCCCCACAGCGACUUGUUGACCUUCGAAAAGUGUCUGUGCUUUAUAUUUCAAAUCAAGCUUAAAAUGAAACUACAACCACUACUCCUAUAUACUGCUAGAUUGAACCUAAUGAAAUGGGCUACUAUACAACAUUAGCUAUUUUAAGGACAAAGCAAACUUGGAUACUAAGAAAAAAAGGGUACUAUCCACUCUUCUUAAAUAACGAACGAGUCCCCAGCCUCAAUUUAAUUUCUAAAUGGCCCUUUGCCUUAUAUUUGUUUUCCCUUUUGAACAUCAUGAAGGAAAAAUAGUUAGCCAAACUAGGUUUUAAAAUUUUAUCCCAAGAUCGUCGUUGUGGUUUUAUCAUGAACGAGUCAAUAUAUGAUAUAUUAUAUAUAUAUAUAUAUAUAUAUAUAUAUAUUGUAAAUGUAGUUCAUAUAACAUUGUGCUCACACAAUGACACAAACAUAAUUGAUUUCUUGCUAUCCUUGAGACCUUCUCUCUUAUUACCUUUUCUGCGAACCUUGGUGCGUGGCCUCCGUAAUUCCUUUUUCACCAAACCCUAGCUAUGAAUUUGCUAAGUUCGAAAGGAAGAAAGGAAGCAAUUAAGUUAUUUCGAAUUUUGUUUCUGAUGGUGUGAUCAAUUCUAUCGCAAAAAACAAAAAUCCUAUUGAUAUAUGUGUGUGUGUGUAUAUGUGUGUGUAUAUAUAUAUAUUUCAGUAAAUUAUAUCCUCUAUGUAUCUGGUCCAAUUUAGGUUAGAAGAGGGAUCUUAAGGGUCUCCUAUUCAAGCUCCAACAGAACUCUAGGUAAAAAUGUUAUCUCAUAACUCUCAUCGAAAAUUCUACUAUUACAAUUAAUACCACUAAAUAAUUGUAAUGGGACUCCAGUUCAGGAAAUACACAAUUAAGCUCUUACCUUACUAAUUAGCUACGAAGUUCCCUCUAUUUGGAUAUAUAUAUAUAUAUAUAUAUAUAUACAUAUAAUCAUGUUUAAUUACUGUAUUUUGGAAAUGUUUAUAAUUUACUACAUAAGUACAUAAUUCAUUCAUGCUGAUCUAUAAUUAAUUUGACAAUUAAAUCUAUUCUUUUAGUAAUAAUAUUACUAAGGGGGUGUAUUCAAUUAAGAUUUUUAAAGACUUUUUAAGUGACAAACUUUUGUAGAAUUUGUGAAUUUUAAUGACUUUUAAAGACUUUAAAGACUUUUUUAAAAUGACUUUUAUAGACUCCAUGAAAUAAGUAACAGAUUUUUAUAAACUUUUUAUCAAGAUUGUCAUAGACUUUUGUAUACUUCUAAUAUAUAAAAUUGAAAGAUUAUUAGAUUUAAGAUUAAAAUUUUGCUACACAGAUAAAUUAUUUAUUUUAUUUUUUAGUGCAUAUAUUAUAAAUAAUAAUCCACUGCUUAUGAUAGCAACUUUCAGAAAACAUAUUAUACAAAAAAUUUAAGUUCUGACAAUAUUAUUUUAUCUAAGCAUUAGAAUACAUAUAUAUUAUAAUAUAUUUAUUACAUGGCUUCUGAUCAUUCAAUUAUUGGCUCCGUGAUUUCAUUUUUUUUCUUCGCAGAAAACGAAAUCCACACUCGUGUAAGCGUGUGAUUCAAUACCAUAUUGAUUGCUUUACUAUAUAUAUAUAAUCGUCCUUUUACCAAAUCAUGCACUAUAAUUAAUAAUAAGAUAAAAGUUUUAAAUAUAUAUACAUACAUAAUCUUCACAAUUGAUCCGAGUGUUUCAUGAUUUUAUCCCACCUUUAUUAAACAAAUUUCUUUCGUCUUUGUAUUGGAAGCUUUCGAACUGCCGCUUUCUCCCUUACCAAUUUACUGUGCCUUUUCUCUCUUUCCUCGAUUGCACGUAUCGCGUGACAGAUUGGGUCUUUAGUUAUUUGUUUACCUAUUAAUAUAUCUUGUUAAUUCUCGUAAUCAUAAUAUGAUUUAAUUUUAUCCACAUAUAAAUUAAAUCCAAUUAGUUUUAAGGAUCAAAUUUUACCAAAUUAAUUUAUCCUUCACAUAUUAAUACUUAUUAGCUCAUAUAAAAUAAAUAACUAGUUUGACCCAAUAAAAGACAAAGUUCAAUUAAAUUAUUUAAAAUAUAAAUAUAAAUAUUAUUUUUUUUAUUUCUUUAUUAUUAUUUUUUUUUGGGUAUUACACCGCGAAUUUGUAUUUACACCGCGAAUUUCUGGGUUCCCUCUUUACCGGCGAUCCGAAUUUACUUUUGUGUUUAAUAUUUGAAAGUCUUUCGAAGUUUUUAGAGAUGAGGUCAGACUUUGGAUAUUGGUUGAUAGUUAUAAUUUUUCUUCUGAAGUCGGUCAAACUCUACCAUUUGAUAGAAAUUUAAAAAAUCUAUGACUUUUUGAAUACCAAAAUACUUUUAUAGACUUUGUAAAAAUUUUAAUUCAAUACCACCUAACUUUUAAAGACAUUAAAAAAGUUGUAAUUGAAUACCAAUAAACUUUUAUAAACUCUUUAAAUGUCUUGAUUGAAUACAACCAAAAUUUUAAAAUCUUUAAAAGUCUUUAAAAAUCUUAAUUGAAUACACCCCCUAAAAGACUUGGCUACGAAUUACUUAAUAAAUAAUCUUACGAAAUAUCUUUUAUAGAUUUCUUGACAAUAAUAUAUGUUCCUAAUAUUCAUAAUAUAUAUUACUUGAUAUCCCUUGGUUAUUAUAAUGUAAAAUAUUUAUCACUUGAUCCUGUUUAAUGCACACCGUUAAUGCACUUUAGUUUGAAGUAUCCACCCAUAUUAUUAGAUGGUUUUGGGUAGAUAAUUAUCAAAUAAAAAUAAUAAAUGGUCCAACCCAUAUCCACACACAUAGUAAGUGGGUUGAUGUGGGCUGCCCAUUUGGCCCUGAUUAUACACUUAUUUUCAAAAGUAAGCUAUUUUAGUAAUUAUUUCUCAGUUAGACUCUCUUUCUAAAAAAAGUCAGUUUCUCACUUUAAAAUAUUUCACUUUCUUACUAUAAAAUGUUCACUUUCUCUUGAUCUCUCACUAAUAUAUUUUUUUUGAAUCAAGUGGGUGGAUGGGUUAUGAUUUUUUGAAUUAAGUGGGUGGAUGGAUGGGUUAUGACUAAACUCUUUUUGCUAUGAUUUCUUCCUCUCUCAUUUGCUUUGUGUAUUCUGCUUUGUGUACUGUUUCUUUCUUCCUCUGGGUUUAGUAUCACUGCUUUUGUGCCUAUAUAGUUGCCAAGUUCAUGAUGGGUUUAUAUAUAGUAAAAUAUCAAUAUUAUGAAAUAUGUGCAUAUAUUUAUGGGCUUUGAUUUGUGUAUUCUUUCUCCUGUUUAAUUUUCUUAACUCAAGUACAUGGUCUUGCAUGCUUGCUGUUAAUUCGUCUUUUAAUGCCCAUAUCCAUCCUUUUAUGACCGCCCAUUUACAACCCAUAUAAGGCUUGCACAUAUAAAACCGAACCCAUUUGCAUCCGCCCAAAUCCGUCCAAAUCUGCCCAAUUUCUAGGUCUAUCCAUGGUUAUAAACCAUGUUCUUUAUUAUAUGUUACUUAUAUUUUAUAUCUUUUAUGUAUACAUAUAUAUCAUAUACAUAUAAUGUAGAGACAAAAUAACAUUACAUUACAAAAUAAUGAAUAAUGCAAUAUUUAUUAAUCAAUAAUAAUGUCAUCAACAAUAUUAAAUAAAUAGGAUUUUAUAGCAAAAUCCAACACAUCAAUGCCCUCAUGGAUGGUUUUAUUGUUGAAGUUUUAUGUUUCUCUGGGUUUAUAUCUUAGAUUCUCUUUAUGUAACAACCCGGGUCAAAACCAAGUCCAGAACAAAUCUUGGGUCAAAUCCCAAGUCCGAAUCGAAUCAAAUCCAUCAAAAUAAGGCCUCAAACUACUGGCCCAAUAGUAUCUUCUUGGGUCAACUUAGCCCACCACAGGCUCACCCAAAAGGUCAUGACUUGAAGGUACUAUUGGUAGUAACUUAUUUCCUUACAUGCAGACAAAUUUUUCUCCUAUCUUUCGAUGUGGGACUGGGGUGUUACAAACUCCCUCGCUUUAAAUUUCUGACGUCCCCGUCAGAACCGAUCACACACACAGGCCCAAAGAUUUUUGCCUCUCUAGCCAUUGUGGGAUAAUACCGGCUGACUUCGUGUCCCCACCUCCGGACCUCCAUCUCUCCAUUGUGGGAUAAUACCACCAGCUUUCGUGUCCCCACCUCUGACAACUCGAUCGGAUGACCCGACCUGAGCUUUCGAGAGUCGGCUCUGAUACCAUAUGUAAUAACCCGGGUCAAAUCCCGAGUCCAGAACAAAUCUUGGGUCAAAUCCCAAGUCCGAAUCGAAUCGAAUCAAAUCCAUUAAAAUAAGGCCUCAAACUACUGGCCCAAUAGUAUCUUCUUGGGUCAACUUAGCCCACCAUAGGCUCACCCAAAAGGUCAUGACUUGAAUGUACUAUUGGUAGUAACAUAUUUCUUUAUAUGCAGACAAAUUUUUUCCCUAUCUUUCGAUGUGGGACUGGGGUGUUACAACCCGUCUCUCCUGCCAAAGAAAAUCAAUAUCAAGUACUCUUGAAUUUCGACUUUUCCGUCAACUUUAUCAUUUCCAUCAACUUUAUCAUAGACCAACUACUUCGUCAUAAAGCAACAAGGAUAUUUGAUUAAGAUUCUCUUUGAUAUAGCUUGGUAUUGCAUGGAAUUCAGCCCCAAAGUCAGUAACAAUUGAAUUUGAUCUCCCCGAAGUGUUGAUUUUAAACACAAUUGCUUCCUUUACUUGCACUUGAGUUGAAGGACUUGAAAUGCUCUUUGGUUACUAAUUUUGCAAUGUACCCAUAAACAUAUUACCAUUAUGAGUAGAUACCCCCAUUAAGAUUGCUGCUAGGUACAAUUCUAUUAGAUACUCAUGCACAAAAUAAAUUCACAAUUGUCCGUAGCAUUUGUCAAAGCUUGAUGGUGAAACAUACUCUUUCAAAUACUCAGAACGGACAAUAUCGCUAAGAUUUCACCGAUAAUUGGAGGACAAGACCAAUUCAUUGUGAGGAAGAGAAUGUUGUAAAAAGCCAUUUAGAUUCAACACAUGUCGACUAUUUUUAGUAUGUUAUGGGUUUUCUUGCAAAAUAAGUUGAGGUAGAAGAGAUUUGGAGAGGAAGAAAUUGAAAUUUUCACUUAGACAUUAUACCGGGCUAUUGGUGUGCAGGAAAAAUAAAUUAAAAUGAGAAUUUUUGGCAGAUUUUUCAAGAUUGAGAUAAGUAUAUGAGAUUUAAGAGGAAGUGUUUGAUGAGAAUGAAACGAGAAUAAAGCUAUGAGAGGGUGAAAAGAACCUUACCAGAAUUAGAGGUUAGAGAAGAUAAUUACGAAAGAAGAGAUCGGAGAAGAAGCAGAGCCUUGGGAAGAAGCAGAGUUAGGAUUUCUGUUCAUUUAAUCUAUCAAUUUAAUUUGUUUUUACUUAUAGUUAAUGAUAUACUACUGACUACACUACAGUGACAUACAUCUCAGAACUUAUUAUGUUCAUGUAAUCUAUCAAUUUAAUUUGUAUAUAGUCAUAAUUUUUUUUAAUUAUUAUAAUUUAUUGACUUAAUGUUCAAAAAAUCCAUUGAACUCUUAUCAAACUAUAAAAAAUCAUACAAAUUAUUUUUUUUGGACCAGAAUCAUUGAACUUUCAAAAACUGUCAAAAAUGCCCAAAAUUUGACUAGUUCAUGUGUACACGCCAGCUCAUAUGAUCAAAUUUUGUGCAUUUUUUAUAAUUGUUUGAUAGUUCAAUAGUUCUGGUUCGAAAAAAAAAGUUGCAUAUUUUUUUAAUAGCUUGACAAAAGUUCAAUGGAUUUUUCAGUGUCUAAUUUAUUUAACUUAGUAUUUAUACUUUGUGUCUUUUGUUGAAAUUGAUUAAUAAUUUUAAUUAGAUUUUUUUCUCUUUUUAUGAACAG